Molecule: long non-coding RNA, 847 nt
Filed under: Selaginella moellendorffii
Lineage: Eukaryota; Viridiplantae; Streptophyta; Lycopodiopsida; Selaginellales; Selaginellaceae
Description: long non-coding RNA (SMOE_LNC000780)
Source: RNAcentral
CAGCUUUUACGGUGGGAUCUCCACGUGGUGUUCUUCUACAAACUUUCAACACCACUGUGGGCGACGGCAGCGCAGGAAUUAAGGUGUGCUGCCAUGCAGCACUUCGAUAAGAAAGAGAGGUGACGAUUUCCACUCUGUUCUUGGAAGAGCCACUUGCGUUGAUUUUCUCUUUGAUCUGGUUUCUAGAUUUUCAUUUCGUGCUCGUCACAGGCAUCUCAGAUGUUGCUAUCAAGCUUUGUCUGAUUGGAACAUGUCACGUAAACAUUCUCGCGGAGUCUGGAUGCUGCAAACGAAAGCAUGAAAAAGCCUCCCGAACAAUUUAGUAUCAAAUAUGUUCUCUUAAGGCGUGGACCUUACUACUUGACAAUUCCGGAAUCUCAGGCGCUACAUCGGAAACCUUUUGUAUAAGCCCUAAAAGAAUAUCCACGAUUGGUUCGACAGUACGUGCUCAUAAAUGGAUUAUUUAAUGUAAGAGAACCAAAUUGCUCAAAGGCUAUUACUUGAAAGCUAGGCUCUAGAGGUACUUGGCUCACAUUAUUUAUUAAUGUCUAUCUAGACGAGUAAAGACCGACCGAUUAGAUGGAAGUAAGCUGGUAGUAGCCAUCUGGAGUAAUACCUGAGUGAGAGAAGGAAGGAUUCAUCGAAAAAGAAGCAAGGAAUAUCAUUGACAAACGUCUUUGUUUGGAGUCCACAAACUCGACCAUGAGGAGCUGAAACGAAAGAAAUGAUAUGAUGAUCUUGGGGUCCUGGAAAAAGGCUUGACGAAAGCUGGAAGCAUUCGAUCGCCGCAGCUGCGUUCUAGAUGUAAAUGCAUGGACUUUUCGACGAACUUGUAGAUCCAAAUGCC